CAGGGCCAGCUAAUAAAAAGACUGCUAAGUUAGUUAUCCUCCAAAAGAGAGACGGAAGACACUAAAGGAAUAUUCAUAACCAGAUGUGUUAUGAAGACCAAUGAGAAUUCUCCAUCCAUGUCACAAUUUGUAAAAGUAUAUUAUAGGUCAAGGUACGUUCUUCAAGACGCAGCUUUGGCUCACAAUGAACUGCAAGCUAUAAAGGGUCCUAAAAAUACUAGUGUAAAACCAUUCAAACAGGAUAAACGGAAUAAUCUAUAUAUAAAAAGGCGAGAAAAGAGAACCACAGCACCAUACAACAACCACUGAACAUCGAGUUCCUGACUUGGAAUAGGUACACACAAAAGCAGCAGGUUUAAACGUUUUAAUAGGUACCAACCGUCACAGUAGUGUAAUAUUUAUAAUUCUAAGACAAACAUAGAACGCCAUAAAAAAAAACACAAAAAAAAAACCGACCAAAAGGCAAUAGUAUACGGGACGGUAUUUUGGUAAAGACACUUGUAACAUAUCCAUCGUUAUCUAUACAAAAGAUUGUCUAUAAAUGUUAACCAACUUAGGGAUUCGUUCGUAAAAUUGUGGCAACUUUACCACAAGGAAUCAUCAACGCGCGGGGAGCAGGGGAUAUUCACUUCAUAUGCAAGAGCAGAAGUUAUUUUGCAACAUAUAAAUGGUAAAUUAACAAUUUGAAGUAAGUAAUCAAGCAACAUAACUUUCUCUGUAAGAGCCUUCUGCAAUUUAGGUAUCUAAUAAAGUGAACAAAAGUCAAAUUCUUCAUCUGUUCUUCUGUCACGGGGGUAUAUGUGAAAAAUCGAAAUAUAUUGUCAAUACCUAUAGCUAUUUCCUUUAUCAAGCAGUUUAUGUAAUGUGAUUUGUCUGCUUGGACAACAAUGUAUUUUUCAUGAAUUAACAAUUGUGUGUUAAAAGAUCUAGAUAGCACGUAUUUUCGUAUACCUCUUAUUGUUUAUAAUGCUAAAUUGUAUCAACGACAUCACAGCCUAAACACAGUUGGAGAGAAAAGAAAUUGCCAAUACAAUUGAGAAUGGAAAUGGGGAAAGUGUAAAAGAGACAACAACCCGAAAAAAAAGAGCAGAAAAUAGCCGAAGUACACCAAUGGGUCUUCAAUACAGCGAGAAAAUCCCCUUGGGACAGGCGCAAAAAAGCCGCGGGGUUAAACAUAUUUUUUUAUACCUCAACUACCCCCUAUACAUCAAGCCAAUGUAGAAAUACAUACACACAACAAUUCGCACAGUAAAAGUCAGUUUGAAAGAAGCCCAAGUCUGAUAUAAGAACAGGUAACAAAAGAAACUAAACAAAGUGACAAUGAUACAUAAAUGAACAUAGACUACUGGCAGUUACUGACAUCAAGCUCCAGACCUCAA
Molecule: long non-coding RNA, 1379 nt
Filed under: Mytilus galloprovincialis (Mediterranean mussel)
Lineage: Eukaryota; Metazoa; Mollusca; Bivalvia; Mytilida; Mytilidae
Source: RNAcentral